GCGAGGGUGGCGGAACUGGCAGACGCGCCAGAUUUAGGAUCUGGUGGGUUUACCCGUGCGGGUUCAAGUCCCGCCCCUCGCA
RNAcentral lists this transfer RNA (82 nucleotides) under marine sediment metagenome. It matches the Rfam family "tRNA". Rfam says of the family: Transfer RNA (tRNA) molecules are approximately 80 nucleotides in length. Their secondary structure includes four short double-helical elements and three loops (D, anti-codon, and T loops). The record is from RNAcentral.